GACGAACCGUGCGAACGUUGUUCGGAAUCACUGGGCUUAAAGGGUGCGUAGGCGGGUUGUCCAGUCUGGGGUGAAAUCCCACGGCUCAACCGUGGAAUUGCCUCAGAUACUGACGACCUCGAGGGAGGUAGGGGCGAGCGGACCUGGGGGUGGAGCGGUGAAAUGCGUUGAUAUCCACAGGAACUCCGGUGGCGAAGGCGGCUCGCUGGACCUCUUCUGACGCUGAGGCACGAAAGCUAGGGGAGCAAUCGGG
Molecule: ribosomal RNA, 253 nt
Filed under: uncultured bacterium
Lineage: Bacteria
Description: partial 16S ribosomal RNA
Rfam family: Bacterial small subunit ribosomal RNA
Source: RNAcentral